This 256-nucleotide ribosomal RNA is filed under the name uncultured Lactobacillus sp. RNAcentral describes it as "partial 16S ribosomal RNA". It matches the Rfam family "Bacterial small subunit ribosomal RNA", at positions 107 to 355 of the family's 1533-position model. Lineage: Bacteria; Bacillati; Bacillota; Bacilli; Lactobacillales; Lactobacillaceae. The record is from RNAcentral.
UGAGUAACGCGUGGGUAACCUGCCCUUAAGUCUGGGAUACCAUUUGGAAACAGAUGCUAAUACCGGGUAAAAGCUACUUUCGCAUGAAAGAAGUUUAAAAGGCGGCGUAAGCUGUCGCUAAAGGAUGGACCUGCGAUGCAUUAGCUAGUUGGUAAGGUAACGGCUUACCAAGGCGAUGAUGCAUAGCCGAGUUGAGAGACUGAUCGGCCACAUUGGGACUGAGACACGGCCCAAACUCCUACGGGAGGCAGCAGCU